GGGACACGUGGUAUCCUGUCUGAAUAUGGGGGGACCAUCCUCCAAGGCUAAAUACUCCUGACUGACCGAUAGUGAACCAGUACCGUGAGGGAAAGGCGAAAAGAACCCCGGCGAGGGGAGUGAAAAAGAACCUGAAACCGUGUACGUACAAGCAGUGGGAGCCUCUUAAUGGGGUGACUGCGUACCUUUUGUAUAAUGGGUCAGCGACUUAUAUUCUGUAGCAAGGUUAACCGAAUAGGGGAGCCGAAGGGAAACCGAGUCUUAACUGGGCGUUAAGUUGCAGGGUAUAGACCCGAAACCCGGUGAUCUAGCCAUGGGCAGGUUGAAGGUUGGGUAACACUAACUGGAGGACCGAACCGACUAAUGUUGAAAAAUUAGCGGAUGACUUGUGGCUGGGGGUGAAAGGCCAAUCAAACCGGGAGAUAGCUGGUUCUCCCCGAAAGCUAUUUAGGUAGCGCCUCGUGAAUUCAUCUCCGGGGGUAGAGCACUGUUUCGGCAAGGGGGUCAUCCCGACUUACCAACCCGAUGCAAACUGCGAAUACCGGAGAAUGUUAUCACGGGAGACACACGGCGGGUGCUAACGUCCGUCGUGAAGAGGGAAACAACCCAGACCGCCAGCUAAGGUCCCAAAGUCAUGGUUAAGUGGGAAACGAUGUGGGAAGGCCCAGACAGCCAGGAUGUUGGCUUAGAAGCAGCCAUCAUUUAAAGAAAGCGUAAUAGCUCACUGGUCGAGUCGGCCUGCGCGGAAGAUGUAACGGGGCUAAACCAUGCACCGAAGCUGCGGCAGCGACACUAUGUGUUGUUGGGUAGGGGAGCGUUCUGUAAGCCUGUGAAGGUAGCCUGUGAGGGUUGCUGGAGGUAUCAGAAGUGCGAAUGCUGACAUAAGUAACGAUAAAGCGGGUGAAAAGCCCGCUCGCCGGAAGACCAAGGGUUCCUGUCCAACGUUAAUCGGGGCAGGGUGAGUCGACCCCUAAGGCGAGGCCGAAAGGCGUAGUCGAUGGGAAACAGGUUAAUAUUCCUGUACUUGGUGUUACUGCG
This 1038-nucleotide ribosomal RNA is filed under the name Escherichia coli. RNAcentral describes it as "partial 23S ribosomal RNA". It matches the Rfam family "Bacterial large subunit ribosomal RNA", at positions 419 to 1458 of the family's 2925-position model. The record is from RNAcentral. Lineage: Bacteria; Pseudomonadati; Pseudomonadota; Gammaproteobacteria; Enterobacterales; Enterobacteriaceae.